UUUCAGGCAGUUUAUAGAAAACAUUGUUUCCUUGGCUUGUAAAACGAGCCCAUUUGAUAUGAGGAAAGUCACUGCAAGGCUCACAAUGAGACUCUUUUGCCAUCUGCGUUCUGUGAUUCUAUCGGCAAUCGCUUGUGAAGUGACACUGCUCUGGAUGCCAUGGCAACAGCAUACUGCGGAGGGGAGGGAGACAGGGAGAGAGAAAUGGCUCACUAGUGAUGAAGCACCACUGGCACCUGCAGGAAAGGGGGAGGAAGUGCAGCCUACACGCAACCAGCACCCUCACACUACUUUUCCCUGCAACGUGCUUUUCUGGGCCCUACUUAGCAGGCGGGGCCUCCUGUUUCAGCUGGCUUCUACGAUCCAGCUUGCUCAUAACCUGGGUGAUGUCCACAUUGGCUGCUGCUUCUUUUGCCUUGGCUUCUUCUUCCUGCUGUCUUAGGAUGACAGGGCUGGGGCUGGAUCGGAGAACUUUGCGAGCAAAUGGAUUAUUAGAGCUAAAGAGAAACAGAGAGGGGGGGAAUAGAGGGUUACUGUGGAUGAAGUAAAAGGCAGAAUGUAGUUUUAAGUGAGGGUGGAUGAAGAGGCAAGGAAGACAGGACAGAACCUUGAGAAACCACAUCAAACCAGAUUUGUGUAGAUGGAUUAAUCAAAGCUGUUUACAAAAUUAAUUAUCCAGGGAUAACAUUCCCUAAACACACUGAUUUGCUUAUACAGAUCAGAGAUUAAUCAGAGCUUGAAUCCAAUUCAAAGGGAAAGAGAAACCGCUGGAAAGAUCAGGGGUUUGUUGUCCUGACUGUCUUCAUUUCAAGCCAGGAAGCUGUCUGGAGGAUGAAUUAUACUCCAAAAGUAGUUAUGGGCAAAGAUGGCUCCAUUUGCCAAGGCUAUUAACAACCUCAGAGGUGUACAGGAGCAUUUGAAAACCUCACUGGUGGCAGCCAGCUGUUUAGGAGUCAAAGCGGCUGGAAGCGUGUGGGGGAUAGAGGAUAAUCUUACCCAGCAGCACAAGAGAACAUCUAUUCUCCAUAUUAGAUAAGCAUUAUGAAAACGACUGGUUAAAUUAAUGCCCAUGUGGUUAGAAUUCACAACAAAGCUGGGGCCAAUGAAGUCUUUUUCUCAGAUGCCAAAGCACCCAAUAAGGACUAAGAAAGAGGUUCUUGUCCUAGAAAGAGCUAAAAAUAUAAUUCAUUCCUCUCCAUUUUUCAAGUGCAUGUUUUAGCUUGUCUUAUUAAAAGUUCUGUGCUUCCUGAACGCUGUAGUUUGAUAUACGAGCAUGAGUCAUCUGGAGCUAUUGUGCUAUAAGCACUUUUGCACUGUGUCUUCCCUAUAUGUGGUCCACUGUGAUUGAUGUUGCAU
Molecule: long non-coding RNA, 1356 nt
Organism: Hemicordylus capensis (graceful crag lizard)
Lineage: Eukaryota; Metazoa; Chordata; Lepidosauria; Squamata; Cordylidae
Exons: 3
Source: RefSeq, a predicted model, not a curated record